UACGGAGGGUGCGAGCGUUGUCCGGAUUUAUUGGGUUUAAAGGGUGCGUAGGCGGCCCGUUAAGUCCGGGGUGAAAGCCCGUUGCUCAACAACGGAACUGCCCUGGAUACUGACGGGCUUGAGUACAGACGAGGUUGGCGGAAUGGACCGAGUAGCGGUGAAAUGCAUAGAUACGGUCCAGAACCCCGAUUGCGAAGGCAGCUGACUAGGCUGUUACUGACGCUGAGGCACGACAGCGUGGGGAGCGGACAGG
RNAcentral lists this ribosomal RNA (253 nucleotides) under uncultured bacterium. Its description in RNAcentral is "partial 16S ribosomal RNA". It matches the Rfam family "Bacterial small subunit ribosomal RNA", at positions 524 to 776 of the family's 1533-position model. The record is from RNAcentral.